GUUGCUUCUUAUGGUGAACUCUCUUUUAAUUCAAAUAAGUGAUGUUCUAGUUUCCGAAGCAUAUAUAAAUAUUUAAUAGCCAGUUUUAAACAGCGUUGUGUAAUUUUAUUUAACUUACACUUUGCUACCUGUCUGCUGGUACAAACUUUGUUAUAUUAAUUCAUAUUUGAUUUUUUAGUUUAUGCAUUAUUAUGUAAUUUGUAAAUGUUUUAAUUUCUGAAUUCAGGAAAUUUGUUUUGUGAAGUUUUUUAAUCGUUAUGAAUCCAAAUGUAUUGUAACACGGAAUCAAAUUUGAGAAAAUAAGAUUCUAUUCGCUCUAGAUUUGAUUAUGUGAUUUCUUUAUGUUGUGGAUUACAUGCCUUUUAAUAAAACGUAGUAAACAAUCUUCACAUUUUGUGAAGUCUAACAAAGUCACUAUUGUUGUGAUGCCAUUUUUUUGAUGGCACGACUAUAAUAGAGUCUUUUAAUUUAAUUAGAUUGGGCUUUAUAUUUAA
This is a non-coding RNA of Lupinus albus (white lupine), 494 nucleotides long. The record is from the annotation of a GenBank genome assembly. NCBI's taxonomy places the organism in Eukaryota, Viridiplantae, Streptophyta, Magnoliopsida, Fabales, Fabaceae.